This 687-nucleotide long non-coding RNA is filed under the name Ananas comosus (pineapple). RNAcentral describes it as "long non-coding RNA (ACOM_LNC010607)". Lineage: Eukaryota; Viridiplantae; Streptophyta; Magnoliopsida; Poales; Bromeliaceae. The record is from RNAcentral.
CCUCUACCUCGUAUUCUUCUGUUUUCUCGCCAUUGAUCUUUUGCUCCGAUUUUCGUUGAGUUUUCUCAUAUUUUGCUAGAUUUGAAAUUUAUUGGGUUCGUCUUGCGCCACCUUGAAAGCAUGCCGACGGGAUGAAAUGUGGUCGUUGUAUCGCUGGAAAUAAUUGCCAGAAAGCCUCACACGUGGAGGAGCAAUUUUGCUUUUAGGACAGGAGGUUUUUCAUUUUACAUGGGGGCAAAGUGUAGGUUUUUAAAUGACGGGUUGGAAGUGAAAAAUUGGAUUUUUACAUGGAGAUUUUAUGUAAUUUACUCUAAAAAAAAUUUAGAAAAAACUUCAAAUACCACUCCUGUGGUUUCGUACUUUCUCACUUUAGUACUUUAUAGUUUAAAAUGUAUUACUUUAAUACCAUAUGAAUUUGCUUUUCUCUCUUCUGUUAUCCUCUUUGUUAUUUUUUCUAUUAAAUCAAUGACAAAAUUAAAACUGCAUGGUACUAAAAUAAAAAUUCGGUAAACUACAAAGUACUAAAGUGAAUAUUCGAUAAAUCAUAGGUGGAGUAUCUGAACUUUUUUGUAUAUGAUUUAACGGAGAGGUUGAUAGAAAGAGAAAAAUAAAACCAAAGGAUAUUAAAGUAAUACAUUUUAAACCAUAAGAUACUAAAGUGGGAAUGCACGAAACCAUAAGGAUGGU